UGUUGGAGAGCUCUGGCUCUGGCAGCGUGCGGUCCUGCCUCGUCAUGUGUGCAGUCACAUCGGAGCAGAUGGAGGAGCGAAAGGAAGAGGCAGAGACGAGAGAAGAGGGACAGUGUGGCAGCCUGCUAAAGAGGGAACUUGUUGGAGAGGACUGAAUGACACGCCGGGGCGUUUGUUCGUGGCUGAUUCUCUCAAGGUCUUGACCAGCAUUUAGUGGCUGUAUAUUUCCAGUGCAGACUGUUGUGAACCCCUCCCUGGCAGAAAGCUGCCAUUCUAAUCUGGAUGAUGGAGAAGUUGUGUGUCACCUUAAAGAAACUAUCACGAUAGAGCCAACAUUCAUCUCAGCCGGGACACAAACAAACUUCUCUGUUGUUCCAAAUACUCUACUCAGUCAGCGCUACGUGAUUUAGCCGUUUCUCUUCAUUUCAUGUAGAUUUUCUACUCUGUGUGUAUUUUACACGAGUUUCCCUAUUUGAAUUCUCAGAAGAGAAGAUGUCGGUAAGGUGCAGCGCCCCUCUUUUCUUUACGGACCUAAACCCCCCACGCUGAAGUUGAUGGACGUUGGAAGCUGCGGCUCAGUCCUCGUGAUGGAAUCUGAAGGAGGCACGAGAGGAUUGUCCACGGCCGCCAUGGUGGCCGUCGCCUGCAACACGUUUGUCGCCAUCCUGCUCCUCCUGCUCUGUCUGGUUGUGUACCGAGCCUGCAGGGUCCCUUCCAGCCCCGAGAGGCUGCCCGUGUUGGCGCCGAGCGAGGCCGAAAGCCAGCAGGCGAACGAGCACAAGUACCUGUUGACCUCCUGACUGCAGAGCGACGAGUCAAAACGUAGCGACGAGGGAUGGAUUUCUUGUGCCCCUCUACGGGAUUCGAGGCAGCACGGGAACUGACUGCAAAGACGAUCGAGGAUCGCCGUUAUCUGCUUUUUAAAGUCAGCCGUGGAGCUGCUGACAGACGAGGCUGAAUUGUUGUGGUGGGGUGGAAACUAUUUUUUAAGCAGCCGUCGCUUGUCAAAAUCAGCCCUCAGAAUGACAAAAGCUGCUGGAGGAUGAGACUAACAAACACAAGUGGCUUCAAGAGCUGCAACAGACACGGCCGCAAGGAUGGAUGCAGGUUAUAUAGAGGCAGACAGAAAGGACAGCUGUUGUUCAAAAUUUCUAAAUAUAACCUCUAACGUCAUCGGGUGGCUUCGAUAAACAAGCAAACAAAAUAAUCUAAUGCUGAGUGUUUCACUGUCGCGUAUUAAUAUCAGCAAAGCGUGAGGCCUAGCMCCUUGCAGCGAGCGUUUCAUGAGGACUGAAGAGGUUUAUCUGAAACGUGCCUCGUGUUUGAUGUGACACUCUCGCUGACAUGAGGCUGCUGGUGAUGGGCAGCUACUUCUGGAAUGAAUCACACACAGAGGAAAUAUUUCCUGCGAGACCCUAAGCUUCCUGCAUCUCAGCCACACGUUUCUGUAUUUGAUCAGUAACAUUGGUGACGCCACUUCAGACCAACAAGGCAUUACUUUAAYGACAGUAGCAGCAUUUAUGUAUAUAUAAAAACUACCAUCUUUUACACAUUGAUCUGAUGUUAGAGUUGCACUGGUUAAGGACACAAAAGUGCUUUAGGAAACAAUAUUACAGUGAAUGUAUUAUCUGUUAUUAAUGUAGCUACAAUAAUCCACAUAAGUGCAUAAUAAAAACAUGUCGGUGUGUGAGGAA
This is a long non-coding RNA of Austrofundulus limnaeus, 1694 nucleotides long. RefSeq lists it as uncharacterized. Lineage: Eukaryota; Metazoa; Chordata; Actinopteri; Cyprinodontiformes; Rivulidae. The transcript has 2 exons. The record is from RefSeq and is a predicted model, not a curated record.